Melospiza melodia melodia is the source of this 2670-nucleotide long non-coding RNA. RefSeq lists it as uncharacterized. The transcript has 3 exons. The record is from RefSeq and is a predicted model, not a curated record. NCBI's taxonomy places the organism in Eukaryota, Metazoa, Chordata, Aves, Passeriformes, Passerellidae.
CUUCCCAGUCCCGCCACUACUGUACCCGCUGUGGCGGAUGGCGACAAUUCCAAACCCUUUCCCGGGGGUGCUGGACACAGCACACCCUCCCAGGUCCUCAGGGCUCGUUGCCCAGGCUGUGUUAAUCCCCAGGGAGGAGGAGGAGGAGAGCCUGGCUUGCACCCCCAUGCAGGGCGGGCGGGGAAAGGGUAUCGCUAGCAGCAGAUGAAUAUUGAUUGUCUGGUAUGGAGAUUUGUCGGAAAGGACAAGGAAAAUGGCAUUUCAUGAACCAGAGAUGGUGACUUCUUACCCAAGAUAACGCCAAAAGCUGCAGAUUUAGCAUAUAUGCAGAACCAAAACCAUCACAAAGAGGCCCUUGAGAUGGAAACCACCUCUCCUGUACAGAGCUGCUUCCCAUCCCACAAGUUAACACUCCAGAAUUCUAAAUGCCUUCUACAGGCCAUAUGUGAGCAGGAGACUCCUGAUACUCCUUUUGAAGUACUUUGGAAAUGCAAGCAUAUGGAAAUGUGUGUGAAGACCACUUCCACUGCUGGUUUGAACUCGGCAGCGCUCUAGCAAAUGGGAUUUACAAAUGUUACCACAUAAUUAUACAGCUUUGACAAGUUCUGUAGGGGAACACCGCCCUCCAGCAUGUGUUGGGUACUUCUGAAGUUCACCAGGGAAAACCUCCACUUCUGAUUUCAAACUUUACUUUCCUGUUUCAGCAACUACUUCACAUUUUCAAGAAGUAUGACAGAAUGUGGUAGGACAAAAUGUUCUGAUGCUGUUUAAGCCAAGGGCGUGAUGCAGGUGUAAAUAGAAUUUAAUCAAAUAUUUCAAGUUAAAUUGGAUGACAGAUCUGGUCAAGGCCCCUCAGUAACCAUUUUCCUGUUUCUUCUCUUUUUCUCUUCUUUUUUUUUUUUUUGUACAUUCUUUCACAAGGAGUCAUAAAAUAGAUAUUACUGACUUUAUAUUAUAGAUACUAAUAUUUAUUUAUUUAUUCAUAUGAUUCCUUGAGAGAAGUUUAAUUAUUGGCACUCAAAUUUCUUAACCUGUUCUGCUGUCAUCCACAGAAUCUCUGUAGCUCUUUGCACUGAUAGCUUUUUUUUUUGAGAAGGCAGCUCACCUUGUGCCAUCAAUGUCUAAACAAGAUUGAUACUUGACUCAAGUUUAUGGAAAAAAAAUAUAAUCUCACAAAAAAGUGGCAUGAACUCCAUAAAUCCUUAUUUCAUAUUAAUGUUUGUGGAGUGAGUAUGGUAGAGCAAAAUUUGACAGGAUAUUUUUUUUCCAACCAAUAAUGCACUUUUUAUGUGCUUAUUUCUACUUUUAGGAGUUAAAGGUUGCAUGGACAGCUGGUGAAAUGAAGGAGGAGUUAAAAUCAUAUGUUACAUCUUCAUUUACUUCUAAGAGCAGAACAAUGAAACUUCUGAUGGUUUUGUAUACAUAUUAUCUUUAUUAUGCUGGAUGCUACCUACUUGGAGUUUUUAACCACACCAUUUUCUAAAUUUCACUUUUCUCUGCCCAGCGAAAAUGAUUCAUAAAUAACACCUUAGCACUUCUGAGAAUUUUUUUAUUUUGUCUUUAAUGUUGUUAAAGCACAUUUUUUAAAGGAUAGUGAGCAUCAUUAUGCCCAUCAUAUAGGCAGAAAAUCUGCAGCAGAAAGAGGUUAAAGGACUUGCCAGAAGGCACAGAGGAAAGCAGAAGUAGCAGACAACCACCCACAAGUCCAAGGAUAAUUCUGUUCCUCAGUAUUAUCGUUCUGGAAGGUAGGAAUGAGAAGUAUUGCACAGCCUCUUCUCUGCAAGAAGUCUUCUCACAACAUGGCUAAGUUUGGCUCUCACUGCUCUUUCCUGCUUAGCUGAUACAGUUUCAGCUUUUACAACCAUAUGUGAUAAGAGCUAACCUUAACAUCUAUAGAAAUUGGUACUUAAAGGACCUUGUUCUGAUGUUAUUAAUAGCAGAAGAAUUUGGAAGAUCCCACUGCUGAGUGUCAUCUUUGCUAGAUAAAGUUUCUUACUAAACUUAACUGCCGUGGAAGUGAAUAAAAAGACUGGAAAAACUAUUUUACCUAACACAUAACAGUUUAAAUUAAUGUUUUGCAGGCACCUAGAAGACAGCAGCAAAACAAGACAGUAAAUGGUUCUUAAUUCUAAAUAAAUUUAACAAAUUUCUGUAGCAGAGUAACAGCAGAUGUUAAGUUUACUGACUUUCAAGAAGGUUUUAGUAGCAUUUUAUUGUAACACAUAACAAAUUAAAGAAAGAGGGACCUAGAUGAAAAAAUUUAAAGGCAAACAAACUACCUGGGAAGCCACAGUUCAUGAUAAUAUCAAGAUGGAAAGAUCUUUCAAAGUUUCUGCAGCAGUCUGUUCAGCUCCAGGUAGGGAGAAAUAGAGUGGUGAAAGACAGUUUUGGUGCUUAAAAUUAUUCCAGAAAUGGGAGAAAUGAUCUUUAGGCUGAGUGGGGAUGGGAUGAAUGUCAGUAGAAACAACUGCAGUAUGCAAAGUUUGGGUAGGAAUAAUCAGCCAUACAAAGGCAGGUAGGGGAGCAACCAGGUAAAUUGUGUAUGGACAGGGACCUGCAAAUUGUUGAGACUAAAACCAGAAGUAAAUAUAAUUAUACUGUUGAAAACCAGCAAAAUAUAUACCAGGUGUACCAACAGGUUUGGUUUUUAAGAUACACUCAUCUUACUGA